RNAcentral lists this ribosomal RNA (424 nucleotides) under uncultured bacterium. Its description in RNAcentral is "bacterial SSU rRNA". It matches the Rfam family "Bacterial small subunit ribosomal RNA", at positions 358 to 773 of the family's 1533-position model. The record is from RNAcentral.
GGAAUAUUGCGCAAUGGGCGAAAGCCUGACGCAGCGACGCCGCGUGGGCGAUGAAGGCCUUCGGGUCGUAAAGCCCUGUCGAGCGGGAAGAAACGUAUGGGUCCGAACAAGGCCCAUGCUUGACGGUCCCGCGAGAGGAAGCCCCGGCUAACUCCGUGCCAGCAGCCGCGGUAAUACGGAGGGGGCUAGCGUUAUUCGGAAUCAUUGGGCGUAAAGGGCGCGUAGGCGGCUUCGUGUGUCGCAUGUGAAAGCCCUCGGCUCAACCGAGGAAUUGCAUGCGAAACUGCGGAGCUUGAGUCCGGGAGAGGAGAGUGGAAUUCCCAGUGUAGCGGUGAAAUGCGUAGAUAUUGGGAGGAACACCAGUGGCGAAGGCGGCUCUCUGGACCGGUACUGACGCUGAGGCGCGAAAGCUAGGGGAGCAAAC